This 447-nucleotide ribosomal RNA is filed under the name uncultured bacterium. RNAcentral describes it as "partial 16S ribosomal RNA". It matches the Rfam family "Bacterial small subunit ribosomal RNA", at positions 29 to 523 of the family's 1533-position model. The record is from RNAcentral.
AACGAGCGCUGGCGGCAGGCUUAACACAUGCAAGUCGAGCGCCCCGCAAGGGGAGCGGCAGACGGGAGAGUAACACGUGGGAACGUACCCUUUAGUUCGGAACAACCCAGGGAGACUUGGGCUAAUACCGGAUACGUCCGUAAGGAGAAAGAUUUAUCGCUAAAGGAUCGGCCCGCGUCUGAUUAGCUAGUUGGUGAGGUAACGGCUCACCAAGGCGACGAUCAGUAGCUGGUCUGAGAGGAUGAUCAGCCUCACUGGGACUGAGACACGGCCCAGACUCCUACGGGAGGCAGCAGUGGGGAAUAUUGGACAAUGGGCGCAAGCCUGAUCCAGCCAUGCCGCGUGGGUGAUGAAGGCCCUAGGGUUGUAAAGCCCUUUCGGCGGGGAAGAUAAUGACGGUACCCGCAGAAGAAGCCCCGGCUAACUUCGUGCCAGCCGCCGCCGUAA